GAAAAUUUUCUAGGGUUCGAUGGUGUGAGAGGAAAGGGGGCGACUUUGAUCCAGAGUAAGGCGACCAAGAGAGGGCGGUGAUUGUCGGCUGCCGGGGUAUGUCGUCGUCAUCGAUUGGUUCCGCCUGUUCACGCGGCAAAGCGAUUCAACGGAGAGGCGUUGAUGCUAGAUAGCCGGUGCCGUAUCGUGAGCAAUGGCACGACGACCCAACAUCUCCAUUCCUACGUGUAUUGCUGGGAGAUCUUUGAGAUAGGGUAUGGAAGCUAGAGGAUGAUGAUGCAACAUUAUCUACAGAUGGAGAUGUAGUUCCUGACGCAUUGUGUGUGGAAAUGCAGAAGAAAAGAGAACAAACUGCAUGAGAUGGUGGAGCUGGUGCAUCAGAUAGAGACAAUUUAGUUAGGAAAGGGUUGAUGCUCGUGUGUGACAUUCUGAUAUUUGUGUGAGGUUUAAUUCUAGGGAUGAUCUUUUCCUAGUCCAUUUGCUACAAAUGGAUGUGAGGUCAAGUAGUGUAUUUUGUCACAAAAUGUAUUGAAUGAAAUUCAGUUUGCAAAAUUUGCCAGGCAAUGUAUUGAAUUCAGUUUGCACAAAUUUCAGGCAAUGUACUGAAUUCAGUUUGGAAAAA
Molecule: long non-coding RNA, 622 nt
Organism: Hordeum vulgare subsp. vulgare (domesticated barley)
Lineage: Eukaryota; Viridiplantae; Streptophyta; Magnoliopsida; Poales; Poaceae
Exons: 2
Source: RefSeq, a predicted model, not a curated record